Molecule: long non-coding RNA, 1491 nt
Filed under: Homo sapiens (human)
Lineage: Eukaryota; Metazoa; Chordata; Mammalia; Primates; Hominidae
Description: non-protein coding LINC02029:9
Source: RNAcentral
AGGAGCGGCCUGGCUUUGUCUGAGUCAGGCAGCCCAGCGUGUGGGAUGCCAGGCUGGAUGUGCUGGGCCUGACCAGCCGCCCGCUUUCCUCUUCUCUUGCCUCUGCCUGCCCCCUGGUGGACAGCUGGGGUAAAGCAUGGGAGUGCGCCUUUGGGGUCUCAGUGGGGCUGAAAUACGACUCCUCCCCUAGGACAGCCUGCCUUCCCCAGCCUUGUUCUCCGGCAAAGUCAAUUUCCUGGAGAAUCGAGGCUCUGCCUCAGAUGUUCGGAGCCUCCGCAGGAUGAACACCUCCAUUUCAAUUCCAGGGGCUUUGAUCAACCUGUGCCUCCCUUGAUCCCCAACUUGUGGGCACCUUCCCUUGAGCAGUGCCCCCACGAGGUACACCUUUCCCGGGAAACAAAAAUCAUUCCUUCUUUGGGUCCUGCAAGCUGUAAAGAACCAAUACAGCACUGUGCUACUGAACAUGUUGCCACUAUAGAAGCCCCUUGUGUUUUGAAGAGUACAUCUCUAUAGCCAUUCGUUUAUUCAUCAGAAACCAGCUAGAAGCCAGGCCCUGUGCUGGGCGCUGGAGACAUGGAAGAAACUGGGCUGAGGCUCCCGCCUUGAAGAGCUUGUGGCCCAGGGAAGGGACAGUUCAUCUGUCAUUGAUUGCCACGUGACAGUGUCUAUGAUGCUAAAAAGAUGCCAGUGCUGUGCUGCAGGAGCAAAGGCCGUGGAGGAAGAGGCUUUGGCUUUGUUGCGAGUCCUUGCCAGAGCCAGGCAAAGCCAGUCACCGCUUUGUUCAGAUGACUCAGGUAAAUAAAUGAGGCCGCACAGGCUGUCCUGACACCACACACCUCUAGAAUACCCUGGCUGUGCUGGGAGCUAUUGGUGUCAGCUGAGUAUUUUCAUCCCUGUCCAAGUCACAAUGAUCUGACUGUACCAGCCUGUGUGGAUGUUGCUAAGAGGAGGCAGACAGCACCAUGAGCUCCCUUAGAUGACGAUCGGCAUGAUGUUCCUGCUGUGGCAGCGCUCAGCUCUUGCCAAUGCUCUUCUCUGCUUUGCUCACUUUAAGCCUCCCUUAAUUUUUUUGAAGCCCAGUUUCCACAUUGCUGAUUCACAGAUAUGCAAGACUCAGGCAGGAAAAAAAAAAGGUAAUUAUUUCAAAUGACUCAGGCGCCCUCCUUGACUCUGGGAUCUCUGUACAGACUUGCACUUUAAAAGCUGAGGGUAAUGAUGUUGUCAUUUGUAUAGGAAAGGCUGGAAGAAAAACACAUUAGUGUUCUUCCAAACUCUUGACUUUUGGAAAAAAUUAGCAUAGAGAGGAUGGAUGCUCAGCCAUGGCCUGACAUCGAAUGCCUAAUGCAGAGGUGAAGACACCUGCACAGUCCCAUGCACUGGCGAGCUUCCUGGGGACAAGGGCAGUGCCUUGAUCACCUCUCUUCCUCGUGCAGUAAAUGUUUGUUGGAUGAAUGGUUGUCAACUCUAGUCCUGUCAGUCCUCCCUGAGCCC